UUCAAAAUAGUUUAAAAUUUAAAAUUUUAAUUUUGGAGAUUAAAGAUAAUUUAUAUUUUUUGAAA
Molecule: transfer RNA, 65 nt
Filed under: Ooencyrtus plautus
Lineage: Eukaryota; Metazoa; Arthropoda; Insecta; Hymenoptera; Encyrtidae
Description: tRNA-Pro
Source: RNAcentral